This 644-nucleotide ribosomal RNA is filed under the name Shigella flexneri. Its description in RNAcentral is "bacterial SSU rRNA". It matches the Rfam family "Bacterial small subunit ribosomal RNA", at positions 140 to 779 of the family's 1533-position model. The record is from RNAcentral. Lineage: Bacteria; Pseudomonadati; Pseudomonadota; Gammaproteobacteria; Enterobacterales; Enterobacteriaceae.
GGGAUAACUACUGGAAACGGUAGCUAAUACCGCAUAACGUCGCAAGACCAAAGAGGGGGACCUUCGGGCCUCUUGCCAUCGGAUGUGCCCAGAUGGGAUUAGCUAGUAGGUGGGGUAACGGCUCACCUAGGCGACGAUCCCUAGCUGGUCUGAGAGGAUGACCAGCCACACUGGAACUGAGACACGGUCCAGACUCCUACGGGAGGCAGCAGUGGGGAAUAUUGCACAAUGGGCGCAAGCCUGAUGCAGCCAUGCCGCGUGUAUGAAGAAGGCCUUCGGGUUGUAAAGUACUUUCAGCGGGGAGGAAGGGAGUAAAGUUAAUACCUUUGCUCAUUGACGUUACCCGCAGAAGAAGCACCGGCUAACUCCGUGCCAGCAGCCGCGGUAAUACGGAGGGUGCAAGCGUUAAUCGGAAUUACUGGGCGUAAAGCGCACGCAGGCGGUUUGUUAAGUCAGAUGUGAAAUCCCCGGGCUCAACCUGGGAACUGCAUCUGAUACUGGCAAGCUUGAGUCUCGUAGAGGGGGGUAGAAUUCCAGGUGUAGCGGUGAAAUGCGUAGAGAUCUGGAGGAAUACCGGUGGCGAAGGCGGCCCCCUGGACGAAGACUGACGCUCAGGUGCGAAAGCGUGGGGAGCAAACAGGAUU